This 387-nucleotide ribosomal RNA is filed under the name uncultured bacterium. RNAcentral describes it as "bacterial SSU rRNA". It matches the Rfam family "Bacterial small subunit ribosomal RNA", at positions 29 to 417 of the family's 1533-position model. The record is from RNAcentral.
AUUAAACGCUGGCGGCAUGCCUUACACAUGCAAGUCGAACGGCAGCACGGGGGCAACCCUGGUGGCGAGUGGCGGACGGGUGAGUAAAGCAUCGGAACGUAUCCCGGAGUGGGGGAUAACGUAGCGAAAGUUACGCUAAUACCGCAUAUUCUGUGAGCAGGAAAGCAGGGGAUCGCAAGACCUUGCGCUCUGGGAGCGGCCGAUGUCGGAUUAGCUAGUUGGUGGGGUAAAGGCCUACCAAGGCGACGAUCCGUAGCGGGUCUGAGAGGAUGAUCCGCCACACUGGGACUGAGACACGGCCCAGACUCCUACGGGAGGCAGCAGUGGGGAAUUUUGGACAAUGGGCGGAAGCCUGAUCCAGCCAUGCCGCGUGAGUGAAGAAGGCCU